Molecule: transfer RNA, 62 nt
Filed under: Ornithodoros coriaceus
Lineage: Eukaryota; Metazoa; Arthropoda; Arachnida; Ixodida; Argasidae
Description: tRNA-Gly
Source: RNAcentral
AUUUUAUUAGUAUAAACAGUACAUCUAAUUUCCAAUUAGAAAGUUUAUUUUUAAAUAAAAUA